CCUACGGGAGGCAGCAGUGAGGAAUAUUGGUCAAUGGGCGAGAGCCUGAACCAGCCAAGCCGCGUGAAGGAUGAAGGCCCUACGGGUGGUAAACUUCGUUUGCCAGGGAGCAAUUGGGUCCACGCGUGGGCUUAGCGAGAGCACCCGACGAAAAAGCAUCCGCUAACUCCGUGCGAGCAGCCGCGGUAAUAGGGAGGAUGCGAGCGUUAGCGGGAUUUAAUGGGUUUAAAGGGUGCGUGGGCGGAAUAUCAAGUCAGGGGUAAAAAUUCGGGGCUCAAUCCCGUCGUGGCGUUGAAACUGAUUGUCUUGAGUGGGCGGGAAGUAUGCGGAAUGCGGGGUGUAGCGGUGACAUACAUAG
RNAcentral lists this ribosomal RNA (358 nucleotides) under uncultured bacterium. RNAcentral's name for it is "partial 16S ribosomal RNA". It matches the Rfam family "Bacterial small subunit ribosomal RNA", at positions 338 to 693 of the family's 1533-position model. The record is from RNAcentral.